Molecule: ribosomal RNA, 515 nt
Filed under: uncultured bacterium
Lineage: Bacteria
Description: partial 16S ribosomal RNA
Rfam family: Bacterial small subunit ribosomal RNA
Source: RNAcentral
GAUGAACGCUGGCAGCGUGCCUAAUACAUGCAAGUCGAGCGAAUGGAUUAAGAGCUUGCUCUUAUGAAGUUAGCGGCGGACGGGUGAGUAACACGUGGGUAACCUGCCCAUAAGACUGGGAUAACUCCGGGAAACCGGGGCUAAUACCGGAUAACAUUUUGAACCGCAUGGUUCGAAAUUGAAAGGCGGCUUCGGCUGUCACUUAUGGAUGGACCCGCGUCGCAUUAGCUAGUUGGUGAGGUAACGGCUCACCAAGACAACGAUGCGUAGCCGACCCGGGAGGGCGAUCGGCCACACUGGGGAUGGGCCACAGCCCAGACUCCUACGGGAGGGAGCAGUAGGGAAUUAUCCGCAAUGGACGAAAGUCUGACGGAGCAACGCCGCGUGGGUGAUGGAGGCUUUCGGGUCGUAAAACUCUGUUGUUAGGGAAGAACAAGUGCUAGUUGAAUAAGCUGGCACCUUGACGGUACCUAACCAGAAAGCCACGGCUAACUACGUGCCAGCCGCCGCCGUAA